RNAcentral lists this long non-coding RNA (593 nucleotides) under Callithrix jacchus (white-tufted-ear marmoset). Its description in RNAcentral is "lncRNA (ENSCJAG00000076527.1)". The record is from RNAcentral. Lineage: Eukaryota; Metazoa; Chordata; Mammalia; Primates; Cebidae.
AACAAAACAGUUGAUAACUUGUUGCUUUUUAUUAAGGAUAAUAAAUAUAAAUGUUAGUUUCAAAAGCAUUGCAGACCUAGAUCUUCAUGGCUCCAGUAUAUCAAGGGGCUGCAGGAAACUUUCACAGAAUUUGAAAUGAGAAAUAUUGACUGUUAUGGAGGGUGUCCCUCAGAAAAGGAGGGUUUCCCUGGGUUGGUCCCUAUGUGAUGUUUCUAAUGUGAAAUGCAGCCUGUGAAAGAGAAGACAAUGCCUCGAGUCUGAUCUGUCCUAAGAUGAAUGUGCUAAUGCUCCAGGACCGAUAAGACAGAGGAGGUCAAGAAGGGGCCUUGUGGUAGGUAAUGCCUCCUCAAGUUCAUUGACACAGCCUCGUGAAUUUUGAUUAGCACAUUCAAAUACACAUGUUCAGACAAAGUCACAAUAAACAUCUCUGUCUCUUUCUCAGUCUCCUUUCCCAGCUUCCUUUCAGAGUAGAAAUGUGAGAAGGUGAGUGAAUAAAAUCAGAAUUAUUUGUUUAUUGUUCUGAGGAUAACUGGUUGGAUUAUUCAAAGGCAACUGGUUGGAUUCCAUAGGUAGACAGUGACCUAAGGUUAUAG